CUCGAUGACGCUGUAGCUCUCCACGUAAUCGACGUGUUCGUCCUGCGGCUCGCUGGCGAUCUGCCGCAGCGUGGCCUUGUCCACGCUGCCCACUCCGAUGGCGAACAGCUCGACGCCGCUGGCCCGGGCCCGCGCAGACACGUCCUGCACGCUGUCCUGGGGCCUCCCGUCUGUCACCACGAUGACCACCUGCGACACGCGGGGCGGUGUGACACCGGGCUCCCGGAAGCCCACGGGACUGUCCAGGAGAGGAGGCUGAGGCCCGGAGAGGCGGGAGGACUGCCGGGUCGCACAGCCAGGCGGCACCCGGGGGAAGAGGACCCGGCUGGCCGAAGAGGAGACCCGUUUCCUCUGACUGAGAGACGUGGCUGGGGGGCUUUCCAUCUGCUUCGCCUCCCUCGGGCAGGCAGCUCUGAGAUGCCCGGAGGGAUGUGAUGCCCCAUCGCCAAAUUGGGGUCUCUAAGCUAUGAAAUGGCCACCUCACGGGGCAUCAUGGGAAUCAAAGUGUCUGCAGGCAAAGCUCAUAACUCCGAGCGGGAGCCUCCAAACAGCAGCAUCCUAGCAGGGUGGCGUGCACGUACCUUGCUGAUGUCAGGGGACCUGGAACGACCACCCUCUGCAUCGCCGAAGGCUUUGGUGAUAGCGAACUGGAUGGCCAGGCCGGUCAUGGUGCCUGUGGACAGCGGCUGGAUACGGCGCACAGCCUGCAGCAGUGCGGCCUUGGAGACAUGAGCCCGCAGCGAGAACUCCUGCUUCACGGUGCUGGCAUAGUUGACCAUGCCCACCCGGGUGGCAUUGGGCCCCACGUCCAGCGACUCGAUGACCUGGGACAGGAAUACCUUCACUUUCUCAAAUUCAACAGGCCGAACGCUGCGAGAGCUGUCGACAACAAACACCAGGUCUGUGGGCCGCGUCCGGCAGAGAUGGCCUGGGAGUGGGGCAGGAGGGGUAAGGCAGAGAGCAGAGACACAGGUCAGGGACUGGGCCUGAACACACAGAGUGCGGCUUCUUAGAUCCAGGUGCGAGGCCUCGGGCCCAGUAGGCUGCAAACUUCAGCUGGGCAGCUGAGCCCUUUUAUCAACAUGCAGACACCAGCAAGCAACUUGCCAAAGGCCCCCUGCUCAGCCCAUGGGGAACACAGAGGGCCAAGCCUGGCCUUGGGCCAUUUGCUUCACUUCUCUGAGCCUCAGUUUCCUCAUCUGAGCAGUGAGCUAGCAAUCCCUCCUUACAGGAUGUUUUGAGGAGCCAGCAGGGGGCCAGGCAAGCAAUGAGUAUUCCAGGGGUGGCAAAGGACCCUGCGGCCUUGAAAACACAUUUAGGUUUCAGCCCAGACUUGCUGCCAGAAACAAGGGCAGCUAUUUCUUCUAGCUGGGCAGGAGGGCACCAAGGAUGGGCCCUCCAGGCAUGGGCACAGGCUUGAGAGCCAAAGCAGUGCCCGUCAACAUGGCCUCUUUCAUCUGAGCAUCAAAGCAAAUCACCAAAGUGGAACCAGUUUCCCUCAGCCUGGCAGCGCCUGCUGGCGGGUUGCCAAAGACAGGGAAAAGGAGCAGGAAUUCCUGGUGGCCACCUCGGCAGCCUGAUCAGGUGCACACCAAGACACACCCCCGAGGAGCAAUGUCCUCCAGAGACCCAAGAAGGCAGCACCCUGUGCUGGGAAGUAUGCAGGGUCAGAGUGAGUUCAGGCCUGGGUUCAAAUCCUGGCUCAGCCACUCUGUGGGGCCCUGGGCAGAUCAUUGCACCUUUCUGAGCCUCCGUGAUCUCACAUGUCCAGUGGAGAGAAUAAGGCUACUGUCACUGGCCUGGGCCUGCAGUCAGGAAGGUCUCACUACAAAGGCCCUUCCCUCCCCAUCCCAUGCGGAGUCUGAACUGAGCAGAGCCAAUCCCAAAGAGGAAAGGGGAAACGUGCAGGGCCGUCCCAACCCCCAAGUCACAGUAACUCACAGUGCCCUAGACUGGGGCUCUGGACAUCAGAGUUCCUCAGGAGACCUUAGAAAUCACCAUGCAGCAGGCUCCCUGCUGUCUACUCGCUAAGGCUACAAAUGGGUAAACUGAGACCCAAAGAGGGAAAGGGAAUUGGCCACACCGUACAGCAGUAGAUCAAUAACCUAGAGGCUCUGGCGCUAUCUCACUGUGUGGUCUUAGGCCCUCACUGACCUCAGUUUCCCCAUCUGUACAGGAAGAAUGGGCAUUCCAGGACUCAGUGCCCAAACCUGAAACUCUGGGGGGUGUUAUUGCCCCCAGGGAGCCCAAGGCUGGAAGGACCUGCAAAGGGGGCAUGAGCUCUUGGCAUCCCAGGUCUGCUGUCAUCAAAGAGCCAUGGGCUCAGCCCUGGGCUUGGUGCAGCUCCAGACGUCAGCCAGCUCUCUGAGUAGCUUCUGCUCCCCAGAGACCUGGAAGACCAAGGUCCCUGCCUCAUGCAUGGUCCCUGAGGGCUGAGGAGCACCCCUGCCCUGACCCUUAUAAGCACCAUGGUCCCUGUCUGCUCCUGCACCAGCCCACUGCCCACCACUGCCGCCCUGCUCCCUUCCCCAUCCUGGAUCCCGUGUGCUCCCUGCCAUAUCGGUACCCAGCCCCCAGUGCUGAGGGUCAGGGCCCACUAGCUCAGUAGCCCCCAUCUCACGCAAGCCCCCUCACCUCUGGACUGGGGGGCGAGGCCAGGGCUGCACAGGGCCUGGAGCAGCAGCAGCAGGCUGCAGAGCAUGAGGCUAGUGCCAGAGAGGACCCUCAUAGUUCUGGCAGCACGGGCAGCAGCCGGCACGGUUGUGGGACCAGUGGGGUCCAGGUCUUAUCAACCCCACUGCCCGCCCAGCCUUUGGGUCAGGUGGCCCCCAACUGACGACUGACGUGGGGGCAGCCCGCCCUGGCCCCCAGCCCCCCCAAAGGGCGGGGCUUGGGCUGAAUGGAGGUGUGUGUGCCCUGAGAGGGCGGGAGAGCCUGGCCCAGGCUUCAGAGGCCCCUCUGACCACAAGGGCUCCUUUGCUUGCAGAAGCAACUAGAGCGGCAGCUGGAAUUUGGGAAAUCUCAGGUGGGUGGGGGGUGGCUCUUCCAGGGGCUGGAGCCCGCGCUGCCUUGAAGCUCCACCCCAAGCCUAGGCAUACCUGAGUCCAAUGGCCCGGCCCAGCCCUGUCCUGCACCUUCAUCCCACACCCAAAUCCUUCCCCCACUCACAACCCCAAGUUUCUCAUUAAAUUCACUUCCCCUUCCCCAGCCUCACUGUGCCCUGCUCUCCGCACACGCCCUGCUCUCCAGCUACCCCUGGAUUCUCCUCGAAGGCCUCCAGGCCAUCACACAUGCAGGGCCAUCUGCCCAGAAUCCUUUCCUCUCACUAACUCUCUGCCUUGUAGAAUCUUUCAAGGUCAUAAUUAGGGCUAACAUGUACCUUCACUGUUAGUAUGGGCAGGGCAGUGGAGACCAUGGUUAAGAGCACAGACUUGGGAGCCAGGUUACCUGGGUUUGCUAUACCAGCAAACCACCUGUGUGACCAUGGGCAAGUGACUUCACCUCUCAUGUCUCAGAUUGCUCAUCUGGAAACUAGGGAUGGUAAUAGCGCCUCCUAGGGUUGAUUCAAGGAGCAAAGGAGUUAGAUGAGGUUUCUCAGUUAAUCCUCUUGACAACUUUUUAAAGCAGCUACUGUUAAAGAACAGAGAGGUAAAAUAACUUGUCUGAAGUUACACAGCUAAGAAGUGUUAUUGCCAGGAUAGAGCCCCAGGCCCGGCUCUCAGCCAUGCUGCUGUCUCAGUGUAGCUUGAUGUAGGUGGCUUCUCCCUGCCCAUCUCUUCCCCCUGUGGGUCCCUGCUUGGCCCACCUCACCUGUCAGCCAGUGGAUUCAACUCUGCAUCAGGCCCAGCACAGAGAAGGCAAAGAUAAAGCCUUCUAAACAAAGUAACAUCAGCAGGAACGAUCCCCUUCUUUGCAUUUGGGUCAAGUAGUUCAUGAGAUAGAGCAGAAAGAGCAUGGGCUUGGCUACCUGAGAGAUCCAGGUUCAAAGCCACUUCUGCUCCUAACUGGCUGUGUGACCUGGAGCUGGUGACUUAACCUCUCUGAGCCUCAGCUUGCCAUGGUGCAGUGGGAAUGGUCGUUCUUGAUCUGCCUGCCCCAUGUGAGGGGCAAGAGGGGGACAGAAGUGGAAAUGGAGUUAAAGGAUUGUCAUUGCUCCAGGAGGCAGAAUCCUAAGACUUGGGACCUAUGCACUUCACUCUGUGUAAAUUAUACCUCAAUAAAAGGAAAUGUACAGACAAAAAGCGACUGCUGGGUGCAGCAGACCCAACUCACCGCUACCACACUCUUUAGCAAUAAUUAUAACAAUCCCUUCCACCCUUGACAUGGCAGUUACUCAUUCUAUCACUCUAUCUCAUUUGCUCACCCAACAAACCUGUGAAGUCAGCAGAUUUGAGUCUCUUGGCCCAUUUGUCAGAUGGAGAAACUGAGGCCCAGAGAGGUUCACUGACUUACCCGAAGCCACCAGCCAGUUUAGGGGCAGAGCCAAGCCUAAAGCUCAGGCCUCACUCCCCUUUGCACCAGUGUUAGAGAAGGAGGAGGUUAAGAGCAUUGCCUUCUGACUUUUUCCCCUUAUAUUUCAUGUGUGCCUAAUUCACUGCCCUCCCCAAUUCCAAAAACCACUUGAAGCUGCUGAUUCCUUUUUCUGCUACAACUUUGAAGUCGAAUUCUUCUCCAGAGAUGCUGCAAGGUGUGAUGAUGGUGGUGCCUCUCCCUUCCCAAAAUGGUGUAAUUAAGGUGUUACCUGUCUCCCCAAGGACGUGAGCUCCCUCCGAGCAGGGGGCUUGCCCGUCUCAGUCACCACUGAAUCCCUGGGACCCAGCAUGGUGCCUGGCACAGGAUCUCUGGUAAGCAAAUGAAGGAAUGAAUGAAAACUAACUACGAACCUGUUCCAUUUCCCUAUAAACCACCCAGGGUCACACAAGGGCCAUCCACGGUGACCAGCGGUGAGAAACGCAAUGCUGUCCUCGUGCCAUGCUGGAGGUGAACGAGGAGAACGUGAGCUGGGGUCUCCUCACCAACUGCUCCCCCCACCCCAACCCCCCUGACGGCCAGGGCUGUGUCCAGGGCUCAGGGCACAAGGCUCCGUUAGCUGGGCAGCAGCUGGCCCAUGAAACAGCCCUUUCAGCUCCACCUCUGAAUGGCAGUUCUAUGGGCUCCUCGGAAGAACACAGGCGCCUUCUCUGUGUCACUUCUCCGCUCAUUAGCAGAGCUGCAGAAAUACACUACAGGACUCAAAAUUGAGAACAGUGUGUCCGGUAUGAGCCAGAAGGAAAAAAAAAUGCACGAAGGGGCCUUCUGCAAGGUUGCUCACAAGUCAAACAGGCAGCUGUGAAGGGCUCUGCUGUUCCCUCCUCCUGUUUUCACAUCCCUCGGGCUUCCAGAAACUUAAAGCCGUUAGUGUUUCAUGCAAGAGAGAGCAUCUGUGAUCCACGGAGAGGCCCCUGGGCAGUGUGGUUCAGUGGGAAGCACACAGGACUCCCUCCCCAGUGCUCCCAGGAUCAGCUCUUUCCCUAAAGAGCAAACCUGGUUAUCUCGCAAUGACCUAGCUAACACAAAUGCAACAUCAGCCGGGGCAGCCUGCCCCCUUCACUCUUUGCCCACCAUCAGCUGUUUGGCAGUAUCCAUAUACGCCUUUACCAGUAUUUAUUUAAUCUUUUUGUUUAAUUCACUCUAAACCAACUCACUUCUUAAAAAUUUCUCUGCCUUAUAAGAAAUAAUAGCCAUGAAAUCACUGGUUUGAUGUACGGUUUAUUUAUUUAUUCCAAUAAACACUCAUUCAAUAUAAAAUUCAAAUAAAUUCAAAACUAAUUAAAUUUAGCUUUUUCAUCCACAUAUCACUGAAAAUUUUCUUGUUUUCUGCCAGUGGCAUGCACGACAGACUUUGAGGAAUCCUGUGAAGUGAAACGGCUUUAGAAUCAAAGAGAGCUGGGCUUGAGUCCCCCUCUGUCACAGGCCAGCCAUGGUGACUUCCGGUAAAUCCCUCCUUUUUCUGCCUGUUUCAUGUCAGUAGCAUUGGAAUCCUAAUGCUAAUGCCACAGGAAGGUUGUAAGGAAGAAAUGCAGUGAAUGCUACAUCAAGCGUAUUGGGCUUUUUGUUUUAGUUUUUUCCUUUUUUUUUUUUUUUUUUUUUUUUUAGGAUGGGGUCUCACUCUGUUACCCAGGCUGGAGCGCGGUGGCACAAUCACAGCUCACUGCAGCCUCGACCUCCCGGUUUCAGGUGAUCUUCCCACCUCAGCCUCCUGAGUAGCUGGGGCCAUAGGUGUUCACCACCAUGCCCAGUGAAUUUUUUUUUUUUGUAGAGACAGGGUUUCACCGUGUUGCCCAGGUUAGUCUCGAACUCUUGAGCUCAAGUGAUCUGCCCACAUUGGCCUCCCAAAUCGCUGAGAUUACAGGCGUGAGCUACCGUGACAGGCCAAUGCUUAUUAUUUUUACAACGCCUUCUUUUAUCAGUCAGGCUAGGAUAGGCUAUGUUGCAAUAGCAGACAUGCCCCCCAAAUCACAAUGGCUUAAUACAGGGUUUGCUUCUCUCUCCUAGCACCGUCCAGUGCCAGGUGGGUGCCCCCCACAUAGGCCCUCUCCAAAGCUGCCUCCACCAUUUCCAAGUCCUUGUCUCAGGCCAUGUGGACAAGAGAGAGACAGCAAGCAUCUCUCUUAACUGCCUCAGAGAAGGAGUACACAUUACCUGACUCUACCUGGAUGCCCAGGGCCAGGAUAUGGCAUUUAGUUAGCAGUGACAGUCUCUGUCACCAUUGCCGGGGGGAAAGCCUUUGUUAGCACUGGAUCACCUCUAGAUGGAAAUUCAGACUUGGCUGGCAUUUAAAGCUCUUCACUGUCAGCUUCCUUCCACCUUCCAGGCCAUUGUCAGUCUUUCUCUUUCUCUCCCUCUCCUUCCCUCCCUCCCUCUCCCUCUCUUCUCUAGUCUUUCCCUUUCUCCCCCUCUCCUCCCCUCCCACCAUCUCCCUCUCUUCUCUAGCACUGAAUGAGUCACUCUCCUGUUUUCAGAGCCUCCCAGAUAGACUCCAGCCCUCUCACUAGCUCCCUAUCAGAGUUUGCACUCAAUGCAUGGUGACCCAUUUUAUUUGUAGGGAAAUGUGAAACCCUGAAGCUCAGACUCUGAAGGAAACUCAAAGGUCAUCUACACCUGGCCACCCAUGCUACUCACCUGGUUGUUAAAAAUACAAGGUCCACCCCUGCUACGUGCCUUCUCGGGGCCAGAGGGUCAGCCCUCACCCCAGGAGCGACUGCGAGAGCUUCCCACGGGGAAUGGCCCCUGUAAUCAAUCACACUGGAAGAAGAAAUGAGCAUCUGGAGGAGCGGGCUCAGGUUUAGCACUGGGAACUCUAGCUGGCCCAGUUAAUGCCCCAACCCAUGGCCCUUCAGCCCACUGUGGGUUCAGCUCACCUACAGCUGCAGGCAGUUCCCAGGGACGCAAGCAGUGGGCCAGGCAGCCUGGGGAUUUAACAUCCCCAGGUAUAACCCGCAACCUGCAGGGAUCAGAAGACCCCAACGUCCCCAUCCCCCAUUGAACAGUUCUGAGACACGCUCCUCGCCGUUCCUCAGAAGGUCCCCAGCAGGAGUGAGCCGCGGUUGCCCACAGAGGUGACCAGCUUAUUCAUGCACAUUGUAUUGGCUUUUAUCCUGUCCCCACCUCACUUCCCCUCACUGUAUUUCCUGGGAUCACCUCCCAAAUAAGCUACCUGCACCCAAGUCCUUUUCUCAGGAUACCCGGUCACAUCUCCAGGCCUUGGCCCAGCUGUUUUCCAGCCUCGCAUGUCCUCCCAGCACAUAGAGCAGAGGAAGCAGCAGGCGAGUGUUCUGUUCGACUAUCUGGGCCACUGAGAUGGCAGCAAAAUUGUUUCCCAGGUGGAUGUUGUUUAUUUAUUUAGAACUGUGGCUCCCUCGUGCCAGCAGCUCUCUGCUAUGCCCACUGACCAUCGGCGUGCUCUUGGUGGCUAAUUAGGGAGACUUCUUCCUGGGACCCGGGAGACAGACUGGAAUGUGAGCACUGGUUCCCAGAGAGCCCAUCCGGGAGGGCAGCGGGCAAGGCCUGUGGCUGCAGAGACACACAGUGGCUGCUGCUUAUACCCUCCGCAGAGGCCCUGCUGCCACCCAAAGACCCAAGGAGAACCCGAGGGUGGGUCCUGCCCCUGACUUCCUUUAACCUGACUGCUUUUCUUGACACUUAAACGGUUUCAUUGCAAAUUGGAGACACUGCCAGAGUACCGGAUUGGACAUGAAUCUCUGGUCUUCCCAAAAGUCAGGCAGAGAUGUGGAGGGGCCCACAGUCACAGGGCAGAUUCCUCACCUGCAAAGUGGCCAUGCUCAUCGCCCCAUCCAGGAGCCUGCAGUGCAGCUGGGCUGCUCCUCCUGCCCAGGCCCCAUUCGGGCCACAGACCCCAUGAUCUGAGGUGUCACAUGUGGUUCAUGACACCUCCCAUGUGCUAUCUUGGUCUCAGGCCCCACGCAUGGUCAGCCAAACUGGAAUCCAGGGUGAGGAGGCGUGUGCUUUCAUCUGCCGGCCUGUCUGGGGAGGCCACGGAGCAGCAGCACAUCCUUCUGAUGGGUUAACACCUGGGUGAUACCAGCCCAACCUGAUAUCCCACCCACAUGUCCAAAGAUAGCACUCACAUCUCAACCUGCCUCCCUCCUCGCUCUCCUAAACUCCAGACCUAGAGACCCAGCUGCUUCCUGAGCACCUCCCAUUAUAUGUCCCCCAAGGAAGCGCAAAUCUAGCCCCACCAAAACGCGAUGCAUCCUUUGCCAUCCCCCGUUUCGCAUCCUCUGCUCAGAGCUGGGCACCACCAUCCGAGGGUCCGCAACAUCCAAAAGCUCCCUGCUGCCUCUGAGGCCUCCUGCUUCUGCCAGGGCCCUCCCAAGAGGGCUCAGAGCCUGGAAUAGGAAUUAAAUGAGGGCCUUGUGAGGUAGAAAUUCCCAGAGGAAGGGCGAGGUUACCCAGAAAGGUCUAGAGAGACAAGCUCAGGUCCAUUUGGGUGGACUGAAGUCCAAGCCCAGGUCUGCCCCUUGGCCAAUGCGUGACUGUGGGCAGAGGCAGCCCCUCCCUGAACCUCAGGAAUGAUCACCACCCAGCACCUGCUGCGUGAGGCCACUGGGAGCUUUGUGGAGCCAGCACACUGAAGGGCCCACUCAAUUACGGGGACCCUUCCUGCUACCAUCACAGCUCCCGAGAAACCUGAAGUUGCCCCGCUUAGCACCCCAGGUUUAAUUUUACCAGCUCUUUUUUCCCUCCAAGAGACAACCACUCCAGGCUGCCCUCACCUGCCCAGGCCUGGAAGCAGCCCCCUCUGUCCUGGGGCCGGCUCCUUUCCAGGCAUGAAGCUCAAACAGGCGCUGUCAGUGGGUCCAAACCAUCGCAGCCCCGUCAAAGGACCCCUGUGUGAGCCUCAAACGGGGCAUUGAUAGGGCCUCAGUGAGGGCUGCCCAGGCGAUCGUGGGCUCGCUUGGCUUGGCUAGCCAUGCGGACUUCCCCAAACCCAGCUAUUUCCUGUCCCUCGGGUGGCCCCCUCCCAGCUGCCUGGCCACAGGGCACAAUCCCACUACACAGCUCAGCCUGUUCUUCGGCUCCAGGCCAGAGGUGGGAGUCGGGGAAGGCGGGAAGGACGGGAGAGUCGCGCCGGGAAGUUCAGGGCCUCCUGGUCCUUGUGACACACGCAGCCAUGGCCCUUCAAUCUCCUUGUGAUAGGAUGCAAGGCUGGGCCAAUGUCUCUCCUCCCGUGACCUCUGCUCCCAAUCCACACUUGCCGGGGCUUCUCAGCGGGCCCUCUUCCCAUGGGUCUUUGCAAGAAGCAACAACUGACACAGACUGGGCCCCAGCCCGUCUAAAAGCCUCCACUCGGAGUAGAAAAAAAAGGUGCUUGGUCUCAUCUCUGACCACUGUGUGGCCUCAGGAAAGUCACUUGAUGUCUCUGGGCCUCUGCCCUCAAGUGUGAACAGGAGCUCGCUUUCCAUUUCUGUGAAUUACACUGCACCAACUGCUUGGGGGUCUGAUAAGGAGCAAAUAACAUCCAUGAAGAAAUCUGCCAUUCCACAAAAAAACUGACACCACCAGAAGGUUGACAAUGCCUCUCAAACUCAUCCCCGUCCCUGCCGCCCCAUAGGAUGACUUCCCCAGCCUUUGUAGGGGUCCCUGCAUUUGGGCUCUUCCUUCCUAAAACCCAAACCUUGUAACUCCUUGGCCCAAAAUCCUUCAAAGACACCUGUCUCAGGAUUAGUCCAUGUUCCUCGGUGUGACAUUCAAGGCUCUGAGGGCUCUUUUGGUAUUGGUGACAGAUCCCAAUUCAAACAGCCCUGGUCUCUUUAUUAACUUUACUUUCAGGUAAGUCCUCAACAGCUCAGCCACACCGGGGAGAAAAGAUAAGAGAUGGAGAAACAGAGAGACAUUAUUAAAGAGUUGUAGUCCUGGAUCCUGCCAUACCUGAAGCCAAAAAUCCCUGGAUUUUUUAUUUGUAUGAGAGCCAAGAAACAUCGUGAACCACCUUCUGGUUUCUCAUAAUAAACUUGGCUCAUAAGGCUUCUGUUACUUGCAACCAUGUCCUUCCUGUAAAUUCCCUUCUUGGCUGAACUUAGCCAGGGUGAGCUUGCACCUAAAGAGCCCCACUGUGUGCAAACACUCUUCCUGACCCAGCCCCACAGCGGGCCGACCUCUUCUCCCUCCCCUCCCCACUUGCAGCCACGCUGAGCAGCUCGCCCCAGCUCCUCUCCCCAAUGCCAUAGAGUCUUUGCGUGUCCUGCUACCUAGACCUAGAGCACCCUUCCCAUUCUGCUUACUGCUGCCUUCUCAUCCUUCAGACUCCACUUGGUGACAGCCUCCAAGAGGCUUUCUCUGGCCCUCAGGCCACGUCUGAGGUCCCCUAGGCUUUCCCUAUCGUGGCAGCCCUUUUGCAGAUCUGUCCCUCCUACCGCAGACUGGGGGGAACUGGAGGCGAGUCUCAUCUGUUGAGGUCUUCCCCAGUGUCCAGAGCAGGACCCAGCCCCAGGGGAGUGGAGUGCACGCCUGAUUAGGGAGACAUCAGGGUGCAUCAUCUUGGGCUGUGGUUCAUGAUCAGACAGCAUUGGGUCAGGACCACCCCUCGCUCAGCAUGGCCCAUGGGAGGAGUUUCUGGAUGGAGCAACUAGGUAUGUGUGAGUGUUUACAUGGGUGUGUGGGGGUGGGCGUGUGUGGAGGGGUGUGGGGGGUGUGAGUGUGUGGGUAUAUGGGGGGUGUGUGGGUGUGUAGGCGGUGG
Molecule: long non-coding RNA, 11239 nt
Filed under: Homo sapiens (human)
Lineage: Eukaryota; Metazoa; Chordata; Mammalia; Primates; Hominidae
Description: HSALNT0291129
Source: RNAcentral